CGGACUGGAGUCUGCAACCCGACUCCACGAAGCUGGAUUCGCUAGUAAUCGCGCAUCAGCCACGGCGCGGUGAAUACGUUCCCGGGCCUUGUACACACCGCCCGUCAAGCCAUGGGAGGCCGGGGGUACCUGAAGUGCGUAACCGCGAGGAUCGCCCUAGGGUAAAACUGGUGACUGGGGCUAAGUCGUAACAAGGUAUC
This 200-nucleotide ribosomal RNA is filed under the name uncultured bacterium. RNAcentral's name for it is "partial 16S ribosomal RNA". It matches the Rfam family "Bacterial small subunit ribosomal RNA", at positions 1294 to 1500 of the family's 1533-position model. The record is from RNAcentral.